Molecule: ribosomal RNA, 433 nt
Filed under: uncultured bacterium
Lineage: Bacteria
Description: partial 16S ribosomal RNA
Rfam family: Bacterial small subunit ribosomal RNA
Source: RNAcentral
AACGAACGCUGGCGGCAUGCCUAACACAUGCAAGUCGAACGAGACCUUCGGGUCUAGUGGCGCACGGGUGCGUAACGCGUGGGAACCUGCCCUUAGGUUCGGAAUAACUCCCCGAAAGGGGUGCUAAUACCGGAUAAUGUCUUCGGACCAAAGAUUUAUCGCCUUUGGAUGGGCCCGCGUUGGAUUAGCUGGUUGGUAGGGUAAAAGCCUACCAAGGCGACGAUCCAUAGCUGGUCUGAGAGGAUGAUCAGCCACACUGGGACUGAGACACGGCCCAGACUCCUACGGGAGGCAGCAGUGGGGAAUAUUGGACAAUGGGCGAAAGCCUGAUCCAGCAAUGCCGCGUGAGUGAUGAAGGCCUUAGGGUUGUAAAGCUCUUUUACCCGGGAUGAUAAUGACAGUACCGGGAGAAUAAGCGCCGGCUAACUCCGUG